UGACUAAGUUAAACGGCCGCGGUACCCUAACCGUGCAAAGGUAGCGCAAUCACUUGUUCUUUAAAUGAGGACUAGUAUGAACGGCAUCACGAGGGUUAUGCUGUCUCCCUAUUCUAUUCAGUGAAACUGAUCUCCCCGUGAAGAAGCGGGGAUAAAAAUAUAAGACGAGAAGACCCCAUGGAGCUUUAAACUCAGUACCAACUGCCCAAUUAAAAACCUUUUACCCCUGCAGCUAUGGUUACUAGUUUUCGGUUGGGGUGACCACGGAGUAAAAAUUAACCUCCACGAUGAAAGGAAUUAACAACCUAACCUAUGAGCUACAGCUCUAAGUAUCAAUAAAUUGACUAAUUGAUCCAAUUACUUGAUCAACGAACCUAGUUACCCUGGGGAUAACAGCGCAAUCCAUUUCAAGAGCUCAUAUCGACAAAUGGGUUUACGACCUCGAUGUUGGAUCAGGGUAUCCCAGUGGCGCAGCCGCUACUAACGGUU
RNAcentral lists this ribosomal RNA (489 nucleotides) under Microhyla mymensinghensis. RNAcentral describes it as "partial large subunit ribosomal RNA". It matches the Rfam family "Bacterial large subunit ribosomal RNA", at positions 1915 to 2573 of the family's 2925-position model. The record is from RNAcentral. Lineage: Eukaryota; Metazoa; Chordata; Amphibia; Anura; Microhylidae.